AUGUGGAUAUUUCCAAAUUUGUUUGGAAAUGCUUGAAAACAAGCAGCAGAGAUCUGAGAAACACUAGCUCACUGUGGGCUUUUGUCUUUUUCUCCCUGUGCCCACCCCCAGGUAUGAAGAGGAGAUCAACAAACGCACAGCAGCUGAGAAUGACUUUGUGGUCCUCAAGAAGGACGUGGAUGCUGCCUACAUGAACAAGGUGGAGUUGGAGGCCAAGGUGGACAGUCUUAAUGACGAGAUCAACUUCCUGAAGGUCCUCUAUGAUGCGGUGAGGGCUCCAUCCUCCCCUCCAUUCAGGGAAAGGGAAUCCCCCAUCUGUGAUGCUGCUGGUUGGGAUUCACAGUUCUUUGAAAGGACUCCAGCUCCCUUAUUUUAGGGCAGUGGGUUCUCAUCAAGGUCAUGCAUAGAAAGGUUUGAAGUGGGAAAUUCAACUGGGAGAUUCUUAGGACCAGAUGUGGUCUUGGUCUUAGAAGGGGUGAUUAGAUCUAAAGAGUGCUUAGAAUAGAAUUCAUUGCUGUCUAGCAUCUUUUCUGGUGAAAUGGAUCCAUUCCCUACCCUUCCAUCCAACACACU
RNAcentral lists this small RNA (573 nucleotides) under Pongo abelii (Sumatran orangutan). RNAcentral describes it as "retained intron". The record is from RNAcentral. Lineage: Eukaryota; Metazoa; Chordata; Mammalia; Primates; Hominidae.